CACAUGAAAGACAAGAAGUGCCCUUUAAAGGACAGGACAGCACUGAGCAAAUCGCCCAGACCUCCACCAGCAGGCAGAUUUCCAACCCCAGCUGCCAUCGUGGUGUGAGGAGGGCUCCACAGAGGUUGGUUCUUCACAGUAAGUGUCCUUGGCACUCAGGGUGCAGGAUAGGAAGAGACCAACUUCACCAGGAGGCUUUGGAGCAAGCGCCCUGGGCCUUGAUGCGCCUGAAAGCUUGUGUGGAGAAAAAGAUCCUCCCACUCCCGGCUCCCCUUUCCUAAAAAUCCGAGACAAAGCUCAAUGGUCUUGUCCGGUGUCCACCCCCACUCCCCCCAGUGUUCGUCUCCCAGGAAAGCGCCCCACACUGGGCGUCCCGGGAGAAAGGACCUAGAAUAGUCAAAACCACAGAGAAGGAUCUGACUGUGUGGCUCUGGAUGCUGCCUUGCCCUCCCGAGUGCUGGAAUGGCAGUGCUUUGAUACCAUGCCCAGCUACCAGUUCUUGUGAUUCUUAUGAUACCUCAUCAGGGUGGAGUUUGGUAGCUUUGGAAGCCUGUUCCAAGAGAGAAAACCAGCCCGUAUGCUUAUAGACUUAAACAGGAGCCUAGCAAAACUCUCUCCUGAGAUGCUUCAUCCAAGCAGCAAAUAGAAACAGAUGCAGAGACCCACAGACAAACAUCAGGUGGAGCUCAGGUAUUCUUGUGGAAGAGGAGGAGGGAACUUGUAGAACUGAACAAGCCAUAGGGGUCAAGGACACCUACAUUGUCAACUAACCUGAGACCAUAGGGUUUCACAGAGACUGACCCACCACCAAAGAGCAUCAUCAGGGCUGGACAUAGGCCUCCCCACAUUUGUCUUCAUGUGGGUCCCCUAAACAGAAGGCUGUCUCUGACUGUGUUGCCUGCCAUUGGAUCCCCUUCCCUAACUGGACUGCCUGGUUAGGCCUCGGUGGGAUGACCUAUUCUGAAAGCCCAUAGUGGUUUCUCUGGCGUCCACAGACUUAAAUGGGACAGACGGAAGCAGCUACAACAGCUGUCCGCCAUUACAGCAACUAUCGUGAUCAUUAAAGCCUCUUCUUUCAUUGUACUUCAGUUGUGGGUAAAAUUCAAGGGAGCUUAGCAGGAGGACCCCAGAUUAAGGGUUUCCCAACCCCCGCCCGUCCGUCGUGAUGUCUGUG
Mus musculus (house mouse) is the source of this 1174-nucleotide long non-coding RNA. RefSeq annotates it as predicted gene, 57485. The record is from RefSeq and is a predicted model, not a curated record. The transcript has 4 exons. Lineage: Eukaryota; Metazoa; Chordata; Mammalia; Rodentia; Muridae.